Molecule: ribosomal RNA, 460 nt
Filed under: uncultured bacterium
Lineage: Bacteria
Description: partial 16S ribosomal RNA
Rfam family: Bacterial small subunit ribosomal RNA
Source: RNAcentral
CCUACGGGGGGCAGCAGUGAGGAAUAUUGGUCAAUGGACGAGAGCCUGAACCAGCCAAGUAGCGUGAAGGAUGACUGCUCUAUGGGUUGUAAACUUCUUUUAUAAAGGAAUAAAAUGAGGCACGUGUGCCUUUUUGUAUGUACUUUAUGAAUAAGGAUCGGCUAACUCCGUGCCAGCAGCCGCGGUAAUACGGAGGAUCCGAGCGUUAUCCGGAUUUAUUGGGUUUAAAGGGAGCGUAGAUGGGUUGUUAAGUCAGUUGUGAAAGUUUGUGGCUCAACCGUAAAAUUGCAAUUGAUACUGGCAGUCUUGAGUACAGUUGAGGUAGGCGGAAUUCGUGGUGUAGCGGUGAAAUGCUUAGAUAUCACGAAGAACCCCGAUUGCGAAGGCAGCUUACUAAACUGUAACUGACAUUGAUGCUCGAAAGUGUGGGGAUCAAACAGGAUUAGAUACCCUUGUAGUC